This 575-nucleotide ribosomal RNA is filed under the name [Candida] sp. BG02-5-23-003H-3. RNAcentral describes it as "eukaryotic LSU rRNA". It matches the Rfam family "Eukaryotic large subunit ribosomal RNA", at positions 40 to 636 of the family's 3401-position model. Lineage: Eukaryota; Fungi; Ascomycota; Saccharomycetes; Saccharomycetales. The record is from RNAcentral.
AUAUCAAUAAGCGGAGGAAAAGAAACCAACAGGGAUUGCCUUAGUAACGGCGAGUGAAGCGGCAAAAGCUCAAAUUUGAAAUCUGGCACUUUCAGUGUCCGAGUUGUAAUUUGAAGAAGGUAACUUUGGAGUUGGCCCUUGUCUAUGUUCCUUGGAACAGGACGUCACAGAGGGUGAGAAUCCCGUGCGAUGAGGUGUCCAAUUCUAUGUAAAGUGCUUUCGAAGAGUCGAGUUGUUUGGGAAUGCAGCUCUAAGUGGGUGGUAAAUUCCAUCUAAAGCUAAAUAUUGGCGAGAGACCGAUAGCGAACAAGUACAGUGAUGGAAAGAUGAAAAGAACUUUGAAAAGAGAGUGAAAAAGUACGUGAAAUUGUUGAAAGGGAAGGGCUUGAGAUCAGACUCGGUAUUUUGCAAGCCUAUCCUUCGUGGAGAGGUUUAUUAGCAGCUUACCGGGCCAGCAUCGGUUUGGAUGGUAGGAUAAUGGCAUUGGAAUGUGGCUCUUCGGAGUGUUAUAGCCUUUGUUGAUACUGCCUAUCUAGACCGAGGACUGCGUCUUUGACUAGGAUGCUGGCGUAAUG